Molecule: ribosomal RNA, 229 nt
Filed under: uncultured bacterium
Lineage: Bacteria
Description: partial 16S ribosomal RNA
Rfam family: Bacterial small subunit ribosomal RNA
Source: RNAcentral
UGCGCAGGUGGGCUUGUAAGUCAGUGGUGAAAUCUUGCCGCUUAACGGUAAAAUUGCCAUUGAUACUGCAAGUCUUGAGUAUGGUUGAGGUAGGUGGAAUGUGUUGUGUAGCGGUGAAAUGCAUAGAUAUGACACAGAACGCCGAUUGCGAAGGCAACUUACUAAGCCAUUACUGACGCUGAGGCACGAGAGCGUGGGGAGCGAACAGGAUUAGAUACCCUGGUAGUCC